This is a long non-coding RNA of Syzygium oleosum, 509 nucleotides long. RefSeq lists it as uncharacterized. NCBI's taxonomy places the organism in Eukaryota, Viridiplantae, Streptophyta, Magnoliopsida, Myrtales, Myrtaceae. The transcript is spliced from 2 exons. The record is from RefSeq and is a predicted model, not a curated record.
CGACUGCACUCCUCGCUCCACUGCUCCGUUCCUUCGCUCGUUCCUUUCCUUGCUCGACUCCUCGUUCUCUGCAGCAAUCGAAGAUCAAGGAAGCAGUUGGUGUACUGUGGCCUCACUUGACUAGUUCGAUUAGCACUGUUGAUGCAAUUCAAGAGUUGGAAGCCAUGGCAACAAUGGACUUCACUGUAGUGCCGGUCGUAGGCUCAAGUUUCAUCACGCCAAGCUGAGGGAGUAGUUGCCCGGCCAUAGAUCUUGGACUCUUUUGUGAGAUUCCAGAAUAGAUGGGAGGAUCAUUUUAGCUGUACAAAUUGUUCUAACAUAGACCUCACAAGAGAAAGGGGUUUGUAAAGCUGAAUGUAUGGUGUGGCAAGUUCUAGUAUUGGUUAGUGUUAAAUUGGUGGGAAGGUUUUAUCUGAACACUAGAGUUCUUUUUCCUUAGUGCAGCAAUCAGGUGACGGAUCAAUAUUCCCCAUUCAAGUUAAUUUAUAUCGUGUUGUUGCAAUUGCAAA